RNAcentral lists this transfer RNA (74 nucleotides) under Smittium simulii. RNAcentral's name for it is "tRNA-Ile". Lineage: Eukaryota; Fungi; Kickxellomycota; Harpellomycetes; Harpellales; Legeriomycetaceae. The record is from RNAcentral.
GCUUCUUUAGCUCAGUUGGUUAGAGCGUGAUGCUAAUAACGUCAAGACCUCAGGUUUAACCCCUGUAAGGAGCA